GACGAACGCUGGCGGCGUGCUUAACACAUGCAAGUCGAGCGGUAAGGCCCUUUCGGGGGUACGACGAGCGGCGAACGGGUGAGUAACACGUGGGUGACCUGCCCUCAGCUCUGGGAUAAGCCUGGGAAACCGGGUCUAAUACCGGAUAUGACUCCAUGACGCAUGUUGUGGGGUGGAAAGCCUUGUGCGGCUGAGGAUGGGCCCGCGGCCUAUCAGCUUGUUGGUGGGGUGANGGCCUACCAAGGCGACGACGGGUAGCCGGCCUGAGGGGGCGACCGGCCACACUGGGACUGAGACACGGCCCAGACUCCUACGGGAGGCAGCAGUGGGGAAUCUUGCGCAAUGGGCGAAAGCCUGACGCAGCGACGCCGCGUGA
This 376-nucleotide ribosomal RNA is filed under the name uncultured bacterium. RNAcentral's name for it is "bacterial SSU rRNA". It matches the Rfam family "Bacterial small subunit ribosomal RNA", at positions 28 to 404 of the family's 1533-position model. The record is from RNAcentral.